This is a long non-coding RNA of Onychostoma macrolepis, 1644 nucleotides long. RefSeq lists it as uncharacterized. Lineage: Eukaryota; Metazoa; Chordata; Actinopteri; Cypriniformes; Cyprinidae. The record is from RefSeq and is a predicted model, not a curated record. The transcript has 8 exons.
GGGUGUAGGGUGUGAUUUGAAACACAGUCUCUGAGCAUCGACUCUGAACGCCGAUAUAUAGCAGCAGGCUACUUUCUCGAAAAUGACAAAUAUUACCCAGAAUGCACUAUUUUAAUGGAAAACAGCAUGUUAGUGUAAAAAUUUGGCCGAUUUUUAACAGUGUAUUUUAGUACUUCGACUUAAACUAUACGUUUAUGUUUUUUGUUUUACUUUAUUUCAGUUAAAUGUUUGUUUUAUUUCAAGUAACAAAAAUGUUUUGUUUUUAAUGGUUUAAGUUUAGUUCAGUUUAAUAACCUUGACACUGACCCAUGUCUGCUUUGAUUUUUAAAGAUGCUGGGAAUUGGAAAGGAGAACUGGAGUAGAUCUGAUGAACUCUGCUCGACUGUUAUUUUAACUCCUCUGAUGGCAGCUCUUCAUGGACUGAAUUAUUCAGCGCUCAGCGUUAUCUGACGCCCUACAGAUUUGAAUCCUGCUGCGUUGGACUCAUGGUCACUGGUGUGCAUUGUGAAUCACAGAAGAUUGUAUGAGACGACAUCCAUGAAGCCGUACAUCCCAUAACAGAUCUGGAAGAGCAGGUCUUGCCGUUGCCACUUGGCCGAAGGGCUGAGAGACGACCACACCAGCCACGAGAUACUGGCGAUGAGGAAGAGCGAACCCAAGAUCGCCGCCGCUAUCUGGACCUUCUCUAUGACGAAAGUGCCGAGUGCAGUAAUCCAUACGGAGAUAUCCAUAUCAGACCUACUUUCCAGAUUAAUGAUGUUAACUGAUGGACUGGAGUGGUGUGGAUUAUUGUGAUGUUUUCAUCAGCUGUUUGGACUCUCAUUCUGACGGCACCCAUUCACUGCAGAGCAUCCAUUGGUGAACAAGUGAUGCGAUGCUACAUUUCUCCAAAUCUGUUCCCAUGAAGAACAAACUCAUGUAUAUCUUGGAUGACCAGGGCUAAACUCUUCCCUGGCUUCCUCAUAAAUCUCUUCGUCUGCUAAAAUGACAGUACAGAUGCUCAAGCUGAGGCUCUCUGGGGUCUACAAAGCUGAGGUGAAACAGCAGAGAAGCUUCACUACUUGAUCACUAGAUAAAAGCAAUUUUCUGGGUUCAACACAAGUUCUCAUAUUUAAAAAAAAAGCAAAACUCACCGGUACAGUAAUGCACAAAGCCAGUUUUCCAGAGGGUUUAAAAAAGCAGAAAUGUAAAGCUUGUGUUUUGUUAUUUUGUACAUCAAUUAUUUAGUAAAGACUUGUAUUUAUUUUGACAUAUAAAGUGUCUGCAUUGUUCUUUCCAAAGUGAGGCUACUUUCUAGAUGCAUGAACCUCUGGUGAGGUGCUGGAAGAUGCUGAAACUACAUCAAAAAAUCAGCAGCAGGUUGCACACUUCUGAGGGAUCAUAUGCCAGCCAAAAAACUACAAAAUAAGAAUGCUAAUGGAUCGCACUCUCCGGAUGUUAACUGAUGGACUGGAGUGCUGUGGAUUAUUGUGAUGUUUUUAUCAGCUGUUUGGACUCUCAUUCUGACGGCACCCAUUCACUGCAGAGCAUCCAUUGCUGAGACACUGAUGCAAUGCUACAUUUCUCCAAAUCUGAUGAAGAAACAAACUCAUCCACAUCUUAGAUGCCUUGACGAGUACAUUUUAAGUAAAUUAGCAUUUUUGG